CAAAACAUAACCAUCAACGAUUCGGUUCACUUACUACUUUAAUUUGCAAGCUCUGACUUCGACCAGCCAUUUAUUCCUCACUUCACAUCUAAUUUCAUCAAAUAUUAUAUAAUAGUUGAAGCCCUUUAAGUCAGCUUUCCAACUCCAUCUUUCGAUUGUUAAAUACUUUUCUACAACUCUUUAUAUGCUUGAAAGAGUGACAGUAGGUACAAAUUUCACAUCUAGACUUUAAAUAGCCGUAACUCUCUCAUUGCAGACUCAAAGUUAACAACCCUUGUACAAAAAUUGUAUUCCUUCAAACAAAAUUUCUAAUGACAUCUUUUGUUUUUUAGAAAACCUUCUACAAUUUUCUGUAUGCUUAAAAGAGUGACAAUCGAUAAACAAUUCAUACCCUAACUUCAAACAACCUUAACUUCUUCAUACAAAACUCAAAUAUCAAACUUUAUACAC
RNAcentral lists this long non-coding RNA (450 nucleotides) under Physcomitrium patens. RNAcentral describes it as "long non-coding RNA (PPAT_LNC001551)". The record is from RNAcentral. Lineage: Eukaryota; Viridiplantae; Streptophyta; Bryopsida; Funariales; Funariaceae.